Molecule: unclassified non-coding RNA, 254 nt
Filed under: uncultured Thelephora
Lineage: Eukaryota; Fungi; Basidiomycota; Agaricomycetes; Thelephorales; Thelephoraceae
Also listed under: 1 other name
Description: sequence contains ITS1
Source: RNAcentral
GUAGGUGAACCUGCGGAAGGAUCAUUACUGAAUUGUCAAACGGGUUGUUGCUGGCCCUCAUAGGGGGCAUGUGCACGCUCUGUUUACACAUCCACUCACACCUGUGCACCCUCUGUAGUUCUAUGGUCUGGGGGACCCUGUCUUCCUUCUGUGGUUCUACGUCUUUACACACACACUGUAAUAAAGUUUUAUGGAAUGUACAUCGCGUCUAACGCAAUACAAUACAACUUUCAGCAACGGAUCUCUUGGCUCUC